GAAACUCCAAGGAGCUACACUAGCAGCCAAGAGGAGAGGUGCCUCUCUGGGUCAUGAGCUAGGGCUCAGGAAUGGCCUGGUACACGAUAUAUUCCUGAAGCACCAUGGAAACAAACAGAUGAGACACACUCCCAGCAGCAGCAGCCUGCCAGAGGAAAUGUCUCCCUUGCUGCAGCCAGCUCUGGCUUUGCCUAAGCCUGGGUAGGGGAACCAGGGCUGGGGUGGGCCCUUCCUAGGGUAGUAUCUUCCUUGCCCUCCCCACCCCAUUCCAGACCUGUGGCCCCUGAGGUGAGGAGCAGCCCAGGGCACAGUGGGCUCGGCUGGGCCCAUCUGUGGGGCAGGGAUACCAGGCCUGUGGGACAGGAGUGAGUUCUGACUAGCAGGCACAGGCCCGGGCAGGGGCUGCAGUGGACUAACAAGAUGGCUCCCAUCAGAGCAGAGAGCAGAGGAGAACAGUGCUGAUCUGACUGGGAAUGAAGUAGCACAGUACCUGCAGUGCUUCUCCAUUCAGGAGGUGGGAAAUCUGUGGAGGGCAGGGGCCGGAGAGGGAUCCCAUGCAGCUGCAUUUUGACAGGGAAGACCUUGCACAGCUAACAACACACAUCAUGGUGUCUCAGAAGAGGGAGAAGAUAGACAUUCUGAUGGAUAGGGCAAAGAGCAAAAUAUUCUGCUCCUAGAGGUAUUGCUCUUUGACUUCUGGAGGCAGAUGCUGUCUUGUCACUAAGAGGAUUCAUCUUUCAGUGAUGAUCUCCUUAUCUCCUUGUUAAGUCAACAUCUUUCAUGUGGUGUAGAAUGUCAUCCUUCCAUGAUGGUGGCCAUCAACUGAUCUGGAGCAGCAGCCUUGACCUGGAGUUGCCUUGUUGCUGUUGUGCAUUUCUAAGUAGAAAUAAAGUUCUCUCAGCUUGGCUUUUUGUUUCUUCUAUGCUUAUUUAUUAAAACGAAAGAAAGAAAGAAAGAAAGAAAGAAAGAAAGAAAGAAAGAAAGAAAGAAAGAAAGAAAGAAA
Long non-coding RNA from Gallus gallus (chicken), 1003 nucleotides. RefSeq lists it as uncharacterized. The record is from RefSeq and is a predicted model, not a curated record. The transcript has 3 exons. NCBI's taxonomy places the organism in Eukaryota, Metazoa, Chordata, Aves, Galliformes, Phasianidae.